Molecule: ribosomal RNA, 445 nt
Filed under: uncultured bacterium
Lineage: Bacteria
Description: partial 16S ribosomal RNA
Rfam family: Bacterial small subunit ribosomal RNA
Source: RNAcentral
GUGAGGAAUAUUGGUCAAUGGACGAGAGUCUGAACCAGCCAAGUCGCGUGAAGGAAGACGGUUCUAUGAAUUGUAAACUUCUUUUGCAGGGGAAUAAAGUGCAGGACGUGUCCUGUUUUGUAUGUACCCUGAGAAUAAGGAUCGGCUAACUCCGUGCCAGCAGCCGCGGUAAUACGGAGGAUCCGAGCGUUAUCCGGAUUUAUUGGGUUUAAAGGGUGCGUAGGUGGUUUGAUAAGUCAGCGGUGAAAGUUUGCAGCUUAACUGUAAAAAUGCCGUUGAAACUGUCGGACUUGAGUGUAAAUGAGGUAGGCGGAAUGCGUGGUGUAGCGGUGAAAUGCAUAGAUAUCACGCAGAACUCCGAUUGCGAAGGCAGCUUACUAAGCUACAACUGACACUGAAGCACGAAAGCGUGGGGAUCAAACAGGAUUAGAUACCCUGGUAGUCC